UGGUCAAGUUAUUAAGGGUGCAGGGCGGAUGCCUUGGCACUAGGAGCCGAUGAAGGACGUGAUAAGCUGCGAUAAGCUUCGGGGAGUUGCACGUAAACUUUGAUCCGAAGAUUUCCGAAUGAGGAAACUCACUUAGAGUAAUGUCUAAGUAUCAUUAAGUGAAUACAUAGCUUAAUGAGGGGAACUCAGGGAACUGAAACAUCUAAGUACCUGAAGGAAGAGAAAGAAAUUCGAUUCCGUAAGUAGCGGCGAGCGAACGCGGAUUAGCCCAAACCAAUAAAGUUUUCUUUAUUGGGGUUGAGGACAUAC
Molecule: ribosomal RNA, 309 nt
Filed under: Clostridioides difficile
Lineage: Bacteria; Bacillati; Bacillota; Clostridia; Peptostreptococcales; Peptostreptococcaceae
Description: partial 23S ribosomal RNA
Rfam family: Bacterial large subunit ribosomal RNA
Source: RNAcentral